This 26-nucleotide non-coding RNA is filed under the name Rattus norvegicus (Norway rat). Lineage: Eukaryota; Metazoa; Chordata; Mammalia; Rodentia; Muridae. The record is from RNAcentral.
AGGACAUUCCUUUCUGCUGCCUCCUG